RNAcentral lists this long non-coding RNA (373 nucleotides) under Dermacentor andersoni. Its description in RNAcentral is "uncharacterized LOC126536125". Lineage: Eukaryota; Metazoa; Arthropoda; Arachnida; Ixodida; Ixodidae. The record is from RNAcentral.
UUGUCAGUGUAACCUGUGCCCAAUUCUCACGUUAUGCUAGAUGCAACUCCGCAUCUCUUACGAUUUCUGUCUGUCCUUUUCGUUUGGCAUAUCAGAAAACGGUAGAAGGGAGACGCCGCGAAGUCGUAUACGUUGAAAGCCUCACACGUAACUCGCCACUCGCCGCCGGCGGGCUGUUGGUGGGAGACUUGAUUGUUUCCAUUGAAGGAGUUCGAAUAGUCGACUUCAAGCAAGCAGCCAAGGUCCUAUCCAAAGCCAGAGAGCAGGUCGUCAUCAACGUCGAGAGAAAAAAGGAUUUCAAGUGGGACAAGAGAAAGGCCCUAAGCUCCUCGCCGCCACCAGAACACGUGCGUUGAAAUUACGUGUGGCCACG